CUACGGGCUGCUCCAGUGAGGAAUAUUGCACAAUGGGGGGAACCCUGAUGCAGCAACGCCGCGUGGAGGAUGACGCAUUUCGGUGUGUAAACUCCUUUUAUAUGUCAAGAAAAUGACGGUAGCAUAUGAAUAAGCACCGGCUAACUCCGUGCCAGCGGCCGCGGUAGUACGGAGGGUGCAAGCGUUACUCGGAAUCACUGGGCGUAAAGGACGCGUAGGCGGGUUGGAAAGUCAGGUGUGAAAUCCUACAGCUUAACUGUAGAACUGCACUUGAAACUUCUAAUCUAGAGUAUGGGAGGGGGAGAUGGAAUUAGUGGUGUAGGGGUAAAAUCCGUAGAUAUCACUAGGAAUACCUAAAGCGAAGGCGAUCUCCUGGAACAUUACUGACGCUAGGGCGUGAAAGCGUGGGGAGCAAACAGGAUUAGAUACCCCUGUAGUC
This 439-nucleotide ribosomal RNA is filed under the name uncultured bacterium. RNAcentral's name for it is "partial 16S ribosomal RNA". It matches the Rfam family "Bacterial small subunit ribosomal RNA", at positions 339 to 795 of the family's 1533-position model. The record is from RNAcentral.